RNAcentral lists this long non-coding RNA (366 nucleotides) under Bos taurus (domestic cattle). RNAcentral's name for it is "long non-coding RNA NONBTAT009452". The record is from RNAcentral. Lineage: Eukaryota; Metazoa; Chordata; Mammalia; Artiodactyla; Bovidae.
CUGUCCUGGGCCUUCUGGUGAAUGACCCACCACGCUGAUGCAGCCCUCUCCCCAGAGACCCCCUAUUGUCCUUCUCCUCAGUCAGUAGCCAUCUGUUCAUAUGGCAAAUUGUUCAAAUCCUCGAAUGCAUUGGAAGGCAUUUUUCAAGGAUUAUAUCCAAAUGUUUUAAAUUGACCAUUCAGUGAAGAAUGAGAAUGGUGUAGCCACACUGGUUAAGUAUCUACUCUGUAGGAAAUAUUGUUGUGUUUAUGUGUGUAGAUUUCCCUGCUCUGACUUUGAAGGGAAAAAAUAAUUUGUGUUCAUUCACAGGAGAAUCUUGACAGUGAAAGUGUCUCACUGUGCUACAGCUACAAGAUGUUGAGGAGC